UCUCGCUUGUCUAGGCACGCGCUGCCUUUGAAAUGAAUUAUAAAUGUAGUGCAGUGUACGCAUUUUAAAACUUCCGUAGAGCAAUCGAGUGAAGUCUAAAAGCUCUAAAAAACAUGAUUCUUCUUUCUGUGACACAUUGCGAUCGCGGGCCGUAUUGGUAUGGCCCGGGGGCCGGAUGCGGCCCGCGGGCCGUAUCUUUGACAUGACUGCUCUACAGCCUGUACACAAUGGACAUAGAAAAUGUUAUAUCACAAAAGUCCAAAAUUAUUCAAUACGCCGAUGAUGUUGUUAUUUACACCAGUAGCAAAUCAGAGGACAAAUGUAUAGAAAAUAUCAACACUGAAUUUACAGAAAUCCAAAAAUGCCUAGACAACAUGGGACUUUCCAUAUCCGAGUCCAAAACCAAUAUAUGUAUUUUCUCUAGAAACAGAAACAACUAUCAAAGACAAUUAACAAUAGGAAAAUAUAAACUCUGUAUUAGUAACUCUGUAAAAUAUCUUGGUCUGCAUCUAGAUAGAAAACUAUUAUGGAAGGACUGUAUCCACCAAAUUAUCAAAAAGACAAGUAAUUCUAUAAAUAUUUUAAGAGCGUUUUGUAAAGCAAAGUGGGGAGCAGACCCAAAUACGGCUUUACUAUUCUACAAAACAAUGGUACGAUCAAUAAUGGAUUAUGGAAGUCAACUCUAUGGAACAGCAGCAGAUACACAUCUAAAUAAAAUCGAGAUACAACAAAAUAAAUGCUUAAGAGCUUGCCUGGGAUAUCUAAAGUCAACGCCCAUAAACAUUAUACAAGCUGAAGCCGUGGAACCUCCUCUUAAACUAAGAAGACAACUAUUGAGCAGAAAAUGCAUGAUAAAAACCAUUUCCAAAAAAACUUCUUACCUCAAUAGUAUACAGUCACUAACAGUUCAAGUUUUGACCCAUAGAUACUGGCACUUCAAGAAAACCCCCCUCAUAGUAGAAACUUUCUCAGAAAUAGCUGACAUUACAGAUAUAGUAUAUUCCAACCAACUCUCUCCGGUUUUAAUUUACUCACCUGAACAAAUUUUUUCACGUGAAAUUAGAACCUACUAUUUUGAAAGUCAAGAAGUAGCAUGUAUCAAUCAAACAAAGUUCAACGAAACAAAAAACAAAUACUGGCCAAACUAUGAUUCUAUAUUCACUGAUGGAUCAAAGUCAAAAGAAUAUACCAGUUGUGCCUUUUACCAUUUUGAGGAAAAUACUGACAAAAAAUUUAUUUUACCAAAAGAAGCUUCCAUAUAUACUGCAGAAUUAACAGCAAUAGUGCAAGCUAUGAAAUACAUACUCGGCUCUAACUACGACAAAUUCAUAGUAUGUACGGACAGCAAAAGUGCAGUAGAUAAACUUAAAAAUGUUAAAAUAAAUAGAUCAGUUAAUCAUAUUGAAGCAAAAAUCCUGUAUUAAGAACUAAAUCUUAAACUACCCCCGUCCGAUUUAUUCUUAAAUCAAAGAAGCAAAAUAAAUGAGAUGUGGCAUAACCUAUACAAUGCAUCAAAAACCGGAACAAACUUUUGUAAACACCAGCAAAGAAUCCCCAGAAAACCAUGGUUUCACAAAAUACCAAACAGAAACUUUUUCGCCACAAUAAAUCGAAUACGUGCUAACCAUGCACUAACACCUUAUUAUAAGCACAAAAUGAAAAUUACAGACGAUCCACUUUGUAGUUGUGGUAAAAUGGGUACAUUGGUACAUGUUUUACUUGAAUGUCCAAUAAAUAAUGGAAACAUUAACAAACUAUAUAAAAACUUAAUUCACUACAAGAUAAACCUUCCAAUAGACCUAAAUUGUAUUAUUUUUUCAGGAAAUAAUGAUAUACUUUAUGUACUUCAUCAACAUAUCAUAAAUUGUAAACUAAAAUUGUAAAAUUACUAACCAAUUUUGUAAGCAAUUCUGCGAAAGAAACUAAAUGUAAAGCAUUAUUACAGGAAAAAAAAUGGUGAUUACAAAAAAAAAUUAAUAAACCAAUUAAAAUAAAAAAAUAUAAAGAAAUAAAUAAAAAAAAUCAAACAAAAAACACAUAAACAAAGAGGGCUGAAAGAUGGUUGAACCGGGUUGAUGCCCUAGCUCUGUGAAGAAAAAAAAGAAAUUAAACACCUUACUAAUGCUACAUAUUACUAACAAAACAAAUGAAUACAUCAUGCUCAAGUUUGAUACUAUGAAACAAUUCACACAAAUUAAUUAUUCAGUCUAACAUAGUCUGGCUAAUUGGUUCUCACCAAAGCCACAAAUUCCACGAAAAAAAAAAUAGUAAUUUAUAAUAAUAUUGAUAUUUAGUAAUUUAUAAUAAUAGUAAUACUUAGUAAUUAAUCAUAAUUAGUAAUUUAUAAUAAUAGUAAUAUUUCGAACUCUUAUAUAGAACUCUUUAAUAAGUAAAUAUAUGGUUGAUAAUGAGACCAAGUUCCAUAGUUUCUUUCGCGUGACGAAGAACCAGUUCCAUUUCUUGUUAUGUGCUAGUAAGGAAGACAUAAUGAAAUCUCCUACAAGAAUGGUAAGGAGAGUGAUAACACCAGAAGAAAAACUUGGUGUCACCUUAAGAUUCUUGACAACAGGAGAAUCGUUCCAUUCUUUGAGGUUUCAAUUUAGAAUAUCCCACAAUUACAUAAGUGUGUUUGUCUCUGAUGUACUAACAGCCAUAUGUAAGAGACUAAAAAAUGUGUUAAUGCCUGCACCAACAGAAGACACAUGGAAAGAAAAUUCAAUAGAAUUCUGGGAAAGAUGGAAUUUUCCAAAUUGUGUCGGUGCCAUUGAUGGAAAGCAUGUUAGAAUAGUGUGCCCUUCCAAAAGUGCCUCUCAAUUUUUUAAUUAUAAAAAUUAUUUUUCAAUAAUUUUGUUAGUCAUAGUGGAUGCAGAGUAUAAAUUUACAGCUGUUGAUGUAGGCUCCUAUGGUAAAGAGGGUGACAGCAGCAAAUUUACUAAGUCUGCAUUAGGCAAAAGUUUGUAUGAAAAUACAAUUAACUUCCCUCAAGAUGCUGCAUUACCUGGCUCACAGAAAGUGUUAGCUUUUGUAAUUGUUGAAGACGAAGCCUUUAGGCUUCACAAAAAUUUAAUGAAACCCUACAAUAGAGUACAGGCCAAGGAUGACUUCCAAAAGGCAAUCUUUAAUUACUAUGUAGAGCCAGACGGGUAUCUGAAAAUGCUUUUGGAAUUCUCUGUGUCAAAUAUUUAGAGUGUUUUACACUCCAAUCGCUGUUAAAGCAAAAACAUGUGACUUUCUAAUUUUAGCUGCAUGUCUUAUCCAGAAUUUAAUAAGAAAUGAUGCUCGAAUGUCCUCCAAUCAGUGCAACGAAGCUGGUAGCAGUACAAAAAUAUGAUCCCUUUGAAUAGAAGUGGAGGUUUUGCCCAAAGUGAAGCAUUUAA
RNAcentral lists this unclassified non-coding RNA (3377 nucleotides) under Diabrotica virgifera virgifera (western corn rootworm). RNAcentral's name for it is "uncharacterized LOC126892550". The record is from RNAcentral. Lineage: Eukaryota; Metazoa; Arthropoda; Insecta; Coleoptera; Chrysomelidae.